Molecule: long non-coding RNA, 796 nt
Filed under: Homo sapiens (human)
Lineage: Eukaryota; Metazoa; Chordata; Mammalia; Primates; Hominidae
Description: HSALNT0291415
Source: RNAcentral
GCCUAGGGGGAAAACAACCAGGGCAGCAGGAUGGGAAAUAGAGAGGAGGGUUGUAAUUUUAGAUCAGGUGGCUGGGAAAGGCUUUGUAGAAUUGGGGACAUGUGGUGAAGAGCGGCAUCCGCCGAAGGAGCCAAAUGUGUGGACAUCUGGAGAAGGGCCUUCCAGGUAGAGGGGACGGCCAAUGCAAAGGCCCUGAUGUAAGAGUGAGCAUGGCAUGUUUGGGGAACAGCAAAGAGGCCACUGUGGCUGCAGCAGAGUGAGUCAAGGGAGAGGACUGAAAAUGAAGCCAGAGAGGUGAUGGAUCUCACAAAAACCCCUCUACCAUACCACAAGCAAGCCCCAGACACCUUCCUUCCCACUGAGACUUGCAGCAAACUUGGGAGAAGACAAAGUGGGGUUUCAAGGACAAAGCAACCCAAUACAUCCUCUAGUCCAGUCCUCCUAUGCACAGCCCCAGGCUCCAGGCCAGGAUAUCAGAGGAAGACUUUGGCCACAGUGUAUGUGCCCCGGCCAUGUUCUCUGCAUCCUAGAAACCACUUAUUGGAGCCAGGGUGGUGAUGACCCCUUGCCACCACCUUCCAUCACCUUGCAGGGGUCCCCUGCCCCCUCUUCACCUUUAUAAACACUUGAGUAUGCCAUCUGUCCCUCACCAGGCUUCCCCCAAUAGACACUGUCUCUUCCAAAUCUGCAGGAAAAAAUAAAAUGAGUGGAUACAAUUUUCUCCCAUUUCAGGAUUUUCCCCUUUUUAAUUUUGUUUUAAACAUCCAGGUCCUCCUUGUCUCUCACUACUCAGAGA